GGGCGUAUAGCUCAGUUGGCUAGAGCGCUUCCUCGACACGGAAGAGGUCCACGGUUCAAGUCCGUGUACGCCCACCA
This 77-nucleotide transfer RNA is filed under the name Mycobacterium sp. RNAcentral's name for it is "tRNA-Val". It matches the Rfam family "tRNA". Rfam says of the family: Transfer RNA (tRNA) molecules are approximately 80 nucleotides in length. Their secondary structure includes four short double-helical elements and three loops (D, anti-codon, and T loops). Further hydrogen bonds mediate the characteristic L-shaped molecular structure. tRNAs have two regions of fundamental functional importance: the anti-codon, which is responsible for specific mRNA codon recognition, and the 3' end, to which the tRNAs corresponding amino acid is attached (by aminoacyl-tRNA synthetases). tRNAs cope with the degeneracy of the genetic code in two manners: having more than one tRNA (with a specific anti-codon) for a particular amino acid; and 'wobble' base-pairing, i.e. permitting non-standard base-pairing at the 3rd anti-codon position. RNAcentral also lists the same sequence under 4 other names. The record is from RNAcentral. Lineage: Bacteria; Bacillati; Actinomycetota; Actinomycetes; Mycobacteriales; Mycobacteriaceae.